Molecule: ribosomal RNA, 508 nt
Filed under: uncultured bacterium
Lineage: Bacteria
Description: partial 16S ribosomal RNA
Rfam family: Bacterial small subunit ribosomal RNA
Source: RNAcentral
GACGAACGCUGGCGGCGUGCCUAAUACAUGCAAGUCGAACGCUUCUUUCCCCCCGAGUGCUUGCUCUCAAUUGGAACGCGUAGUUGCGGCCGGGGGAGUAACCCGCUGGUAACCUACUCAUCAGAGGGAGAUAACACUUGGAACCAGGUGCUAAUACCGCAUAACAGUUUAUGCCGCAUGGCAUAAGAGUGAAAGGCGUUUUCGGGCGUCGCUGUUGGUUGUUCCCGCGGUGCAUUGGAUCGGUGGUGAGGUAACGGCUCACCAGGGCCACGACGCACAGCCGACGUGAGAGGGUGGUAGGCCACACUGGAACUGGGACAGGGCCCAGGCGCCUAAGGGAGGGACCAGUAGGGAAUCGGCGGCAAUGGACGAGAGUCUGACCGAGCAACGCCGCGCGAGUGGAAGAGGUGUUGGGAUCGUAAAGCUCGGUUGUGGGAGAAGAACAAGGACGUGAGGAACUGAGCGUACAGUGACGGUACCUAAACAGAAAGCCACGGCUAACUACGUG